UUGAAGGAAGGAAUAUGUUUGCAAGCCAAUAUUUUUGAAUUGGGAAGGCUACUUACAUUAAGGAGAUGAAGAGAAGAUUGAAAUCAUGAUUGGUCCAUAACUUGAUUAUCAGAGGUCUUUGGGACCCACCCUUGUACACACAUAGGCUUUGGGCCGUGUACUAAGGUGAUUAGCCUUUGGGGCAGCUCUGCGUACGUAUGACCAGAUUAUCAGAUUUGAAUGGCUCUGCCUUGUACAUCGAGAUUACUUUGUACAUGAGCAAGACUAUUCAUUGGGUACCUUUUUGGUGUGAUUUUUCAGUAUUUCUACAGCUUAUCAUAUUUCAGAUUUUAGAAUUCGGUCUGUUUAGUUCUCUGACUAAAGCUUUCAGCUUAUAGUAUUGAUCAGCUGCAAUAUUUUAUA
Long non-coding RNA from Olea europaea var. sylvestris, 402 nucleotides. RefSeq lists it as uncharacterized. The transcript has 3 exons. Lineage: Eukaryota; Viridiplantae; Streptophyta; Magnoliopsida; Lamiales; Oleaceae. The record is from RefSeq and is a predicted model, not a curated record.